This 912-nucleotide ribosomal RNA is filed under the name Cadophora malorum. RNAcentral describes it as "LSU rRNA". It matches the Rfam family "Eukaryotic large subunit ribosomal RNA", at positions 38 to 964 of the family's 3401-position model. Lineage: Eukaryota; Fungi; Ascomycota; Leotiomycetes; Helotiales; Ploettnerulaceae. The record is from RNAcentral.
GCAUAUCAAUAAGCGGAGGAAAAGAAACCAACAGGGAUUACCUCAGUAACGGCGAAGUGAAGCGGUAACAGCUCAAAUUUGAAAGCUAGCUCUUUUAGGGUUCGCAUUGUAAUUUGUAGAAGAUGCUUCGGGUGUGGCCCCGGUCUAAGUUCCUUGGAACAGGACGUCAUAGAGGGUGAGAAUCCCGUAUGUGACUGGGUGCUUUCGCUCAUGUGAAGCUCUUUCGACGAGUCGAGUUGUUUGGGAAUGCAGCUCAAAAUGGGUGGUAAAUUUCAUCUAAAGCUAAAUAUUGGCCAGAGACCGAUAGCGCACAAGUAGAGUGAUCGAAAGAUGAAAAGCACUUUGGAAAGAGAGUUAAACAGUACGUGAAAUUGUUGAAAGGGAAGCGCUUGCAACCAGACUUGCGCGCUGAUGAUCAUCCGGGCUUCUGCCCGGUGCACUCGUCUGCGCUCAGGCCAGCAUCGGUUUCGGUGGUGGGAUAAAGGCCUUGGGAAUGUAGCUCCUCUCGGGGAGUGUUAUAGCCCUCGGUGCAAUGCCGCCUACCGGGACCGAGGACCGCGCUUCGGCUAGGAUGCUGGCGUAAUGGUUGUAAGCGACCCGUCUUGAAACACGGACCAAGGAGUCUAACAUCUAUGCGAGUGUUUGGGUGUCAAACCCAUACGCGUAAUGAAAGUGAACGGAGGUGAGAACCCUUAAGGGUGCAUCAUCGACCGAUCCUGAUGUCUUCGGAUGGAUUUGAGUAAGAGCAUAGCUGUUGGGACCCGAAAGAUGGUGAACUAUGCGUGAAUAGGGUGAAGCCAGAGGAAACUCUGGUGGAGGCUCGCAGCGGUUCUGACGUGCAAAUCGAUCGUCAAAUUUGCGUAUAGGGGGCGAAAGACUAAUCGAACCAUCUAGUAGCUGGGUUCCUGCCGA